GAUGAACGCUGGCGGUAUGCUUAACACAUGCAAGUCGAACGGACUCUUCGGAGUUAGUGGCGGACGGGUGAGUAACGCGUGAGAAUCUGGCUUUGGGUUCGGGACAACCACUGGAAACGGUGGCUAAUACCGGAUGUGCCGAGAGGUAAAAGAGAAAUUGCCUGAAGAUGAGCUCGCGGCUGAUUAGCUAGUUGGUGAGGUAAAGGCUCACCAAGGCAGCGAUCAGUAGCUGGUCUGAGAGGAUGACCAGCCACACUGGGACUGAGACACGGCCCAGACUCCUACGGGAGGCCGCAGUGGGGAAUUUUCCGCAAUGGGCGAGCACCUGACGGAGCAAUACCGCGUGAGAGAAGAAGGCUCUUGGGUUGUAAACCUCUUUUCUUAGGGAAGAACAGAAUGACGGUACCUAAGGAAUCAGCAUCGGCUAACUCCGUG
RNAcentral lists this ribosomal RNA (435 nucleotides) under uncultured bacterium. RNAcentral describes it as "partial 16S ribosomal RNA". It matches the Rfam family "Bacterial small subunit ribosomal RNA", at positions 28 to 507 of the family's 1533-position model. The record is from RNAcentral.